This 207-nucleotide ribosomal RNA is filed under the name uncultured bacterium. Its description in RNAcentral is "partial 16S ribosomal RNA". It matches the Rfam family "Bacterial small subunit ribosomal RNA", at positions 568 to 774 of the family's 1533-position model. The record is from RNAcentral.
CGUGUAGGCGGUUUGUUAAGUCUGGCGUGAAAGCUCUCGGCUAAACCGGGAGAGGUCGUUGGAUACUGGCGAACUAGAGGAUGGUAGAGGCGUGUGGAAUUCCGGGUGUAGUGGUGAAAUGCGUAGAGAUCCGGAGGAACACCAGUGGCGAAGGCGACACGCUGGGCCAUACCUGACGCUAAAGCGCGACAGCAUGGGGAGCAAACG